This 527-nucleotide ribosomal RNA is filed under the name uncultured bacterium. RNAcentral describes it as "bacterial SSU rRNA". It matches the Rfam family "Bacterial small subunit ribosomal RNA", at positions 8 to 518 of the family's 1533-position model. The record is from RNAcentral.
AGAGUUUGAUUCUGGCUCGAGGACGAACGCUGGCGGCGUGCCUAACACAUGCAAGUCGAGCGGGGACAUGCGACGGAUCGGAAGUUUUCGGAUGGAAGAGAAGAUGUAUGUUCUAGCGGCGGACGGGUGAGUAACGCGUGAACAAUCUGUCCUUCACAGGGGGAUAACACAGCGAAAGUUGUACUAAUACCGCAUGAGACCACGGUAGGGCAUCCUACAGGGGUCAAAGGAGCAAUCCGGUGAAGGGUGAGUUCGCGUCCGAUUAGAUAGUUGGUGAGGUAACGGCCCACCAAGUCGACGAUCGGUAGCCGACCUGAGAGGGUGAUCGGCCACAUUGGGACUGAGACACGGCCCAAACUCCUACGGGAGGCAGCAGUGGGGAAUAUUGGGCAAAGUGGGGGAAACCCUGACCCAGCAACGCCGCGUGAGGGAAGAAGGUUUUCGGAUCGUAAACCUCUGUCCUUGGUGAAGAGGAAGAGACGGUAGCCAAGGAGGAACGCCCCGGCUAACUACGUGCCAGCCGCCGC